CAGAUUGGAGUAGUAGUUACUGUCAAAGGCAUCCGGUGUUGUGAGAUCUAGAUCUGUUAUCACACUCCCAUUUCCACCUUGGGGACAUAAUUCCUGAAGAUCUGCUAGAAGAGUUCUGUUCAGUGACGGGUCAGGAGCACCGGUGCCGUUGAAAUCAUACAAUCGGUGGCGGAAUGUAGAACAUUGUGCCCUCCCAAAUGUGUGAGCACCUGAGAAGAUAAGAAGGAAAUUACAUCAAAGGAGAAUCAAUUAUAACAGAGUUUUACGGUUUAGAGUUGAGCCUGACAAAUAAUACUUACCAGAUAGAGCUACCAAAUCACUAUUAUUGUUAAGGCUGACAUUAGUGAAGCUCUCUCUGAGUUGAUCAAGGGUUAAAAAAGGGGAUGGAAGGAAAGCAUCUGCUGCAUCUCGGCUUGCUGUUGUGCUAUCUCUUCUUCCUAAUGGAACUGUCCAAUUUGGACCUCCUGCCUGCAACCAUGCAUAGUUAGGGGUUACUACUUUUCAACUCUUAACGUUUUUCUAUCUUAACUCCUUUAGUCCAAACCUUCAUAAAGUCAUGUAAAAAAUCAAGUAAAUCUCAGCUUCUUUCUUUCAUUCAAUUAUGACAAACUAUGAUAUUUGUGUUCUUCGUGCUUUGACUAGAAUAUUUAGACAACAAGAUAUCAUUUUAUGAUUUGGGGGGUUGAGGGAUCGAUCAUUUUAAGAUACCAAGCAAACAGAUUCUUCAGCUGCAAUAGCGAGUAUAUCAGCACAGGAAACAGUAGCAGGACAGGCACUCUCCAACAAAGCCUUCAUUCUAUCAACAACUUCAAAACCUCUUGCAGAGUUGUUGUUCCCUCGGACUUCCUUUUCGCUCACUAUAGUAUCAGAAUCGUCCAACAAAAGCGAACCAUCGCAGCCCUGAAAAUAAAAUAAAAAACUUGAGAAUCACAACUUAGAUAGAAGGUUUAAUGUAAUUAAGCAAAUAUAAUAAGAUGUUUCAAAGUAAUUACAUUAACAAAGCAGUCAUGGAAGUGGAGCCUGAUGAGGCUGGCUCCAAUCCGAGGAUCGGAUGCCAAUGUCUCCGUAAUGACAUUACGGAUAAUGCUGCUCACAUUGGGACAUGUCUGGUCAUAAAAUGUUGGGAGUAAGCUGGCCAUAAGCCAAUGUUCCUCCAAGCAAAACUACAAAGAAAAGAGCUGCAACUAUAGCCUUAGAAAUAUGCAUUUUUCUCCAAUUUCUCCAAUGAAAUUGUUCUUGUCAAUGUUAAAACUUGCAUGGGAACUCAACGAUGUUAUAGUUUAUAUAGUGAUAAAGAGGUUUGGAAGCUAAGAUGCGGUGCUUUGAAUUUUUCAACAAGAAUAGCGGUGCUUUGAAUGUUUUAUCAAGAAUAGUAGCAGGUGAGGUGUUUGAGAUAGUGAUGUUUGAUUUUUAAAAUGUUUUUUAUUUUAAAAUGUAUUAAAAUAAUAUUUUUUUAUUUUUAAAAAUUUAUUUUUUAUAUCAGCAAAUCAAUUUAAUUGAAAUAAAAAAAAUAUUUCAAAAAUUUUGAAAAUUUCAAUUGAAUAAUUGUCGAUAAUGACAUGUUUCUCAAGUGAUAUUAGGUGGUGAUCACAAAAACAGGUUGGCGGGCUACAAUGUUGAAUAAUAAAUUUAUUAAAUUCAACUUUAAUAUGCCUGACUUUUAUUUGUGGAUGGUGGCCAGCUUAGCUAAAGUUCAAUAGAAGGAUCUAAAUUCUACUAUCCUAAUUAAUAUAUAGAGCUUCAACUUAAUGAUUACCAUUAUUAUGAUUUAACCAAUCUUAAAUUUCUUAAAAUAUGAGUGUCUUUACCGUCUAAUACAUGUUUAAGAAAGUUUCGAGAAAAUAGCAUUGUUCUAAAAAGAUUUUGAAAAUAUUACAUGUAAAAUCUGAGAGUUUUUUUUUUUUUAAUAAGAAAAACAAAACCUUAGUUCUCAUCACCUUUUUUAGAAAACUCUUCAGCUUUUUUAUUGGUUGUCCUGUUUUUGAAAUAUUUUUUUGUGCGAGUUUACUAAUUUAUCUUUAAAUUGUGCUAUUUUAAAAAAAACAAUAACAAAAUUAAAAAUAUAUCAUUUGCAUUCCAAUUACAAGUUUUUGUUCAGAAAAGUAGAGUUUUCUUUUCAUUAAAAAAUUAUAGCUCAACAAGUCAAAAUUUUUAUUUGCUUUUUAAAAUCACUAGUUUAAAUGUUAUAAAUUUCAGAAUUAUUAGGGAAUUAAAUAGUUAUUAAUUUUAGAACCUUAAGAGAUGAGUUGAUAUACACAUAAAUUGACUUGAAUAUCUAUUAUUAAAAUAAAAAAUAGGAUGAUAUAACUCCUUGAUUGUAAAAGUGUUGUUAAAAGUGUUGUUGGAGAUUAAAUCUCCUCGGUCAAUACCUUAAUAAAGAAAACACAAGCAAGAAAUUUCCUCGAUCAAUAUUUAUCAAAUAGCACAAUAACAUUUUUAUUUAUUUAUUUUAUGACUAUGCCUUUUGUAAUAGCUACUCUUCUAUGCAUAUGGGGCCUAUACAUAUAUAGUUAGUUUCUACCACUGGGACCGCCUGCUACAUGAAAUAGUAAUUUUAGAUUAACAUUUUUCUUGUAAAAACAUUGCAUUACCAUAUAUAUUUCAUGGCUUGAUUUAAUAGCAAAUUCCUAGUUAAUUUAAGCCGACAUGCAUGUACACCUUGCAAGCUUUUAUUGUUCCUUGCAUUGGAAGCUAGCUAUAAAGUGAAAGAAUUAGUCAUGUUCCUUUUCUUCUAGUCUUAUCUGGAUUUCUGUUUCUCGUGAUUAAACAGGAAAACACCACCAGUUUAAUUCAUGACUCCCUAAUUUGGGGCUGUCCUGAGCCAAGUUAAUGGAAAACGCUGUUUUUUUCUUUUUUAAAAAAUUCUAUCUCUUUUUAUUAAAAAAAGUUUAGAUUUUGACUUGACAGUCUAUCCUCACCCACAACUCAAAUUGUUACUGCAAUAAAAUCUUAUAACUAUAAUCAAAUAACAUUAAAUUACAUUCCUGAUCCAUGAUGAAGAUCUUCUUAGUGAUGUUUUAAUUUUAAGUUUAGCUAAACAUAUCAAGGAAUGUUUAUUUCAUAAAAAGUGAUUUUUUAAAAAUUAUUUUAAAAAUUUUUAUGUGUGUUUAUUUGUUAUUAAAACAAAUUGAUCAACGAAAAACACCUUUUAGUCAAAUAAAAAUUUAGUUUGGUUUCUAAAAGAGUGUUUUUUGAUUUAUUUUGGGCAGAAAUCACUUUUCAGAAGUUAUAAAAAAUUUACAAAUUUCAUAUUAUUUGCUGACGAUAUCAAAUUUGGUCCUCAAACUUUUGAUUGUUAUAUAUUUUGUUUUGAAUUUUUUUUUUAAAUUUUAUCCCUUAGAAUUUGACUUAAUUUUAUUUUUAUAUUAAAUUUGGUUCUCAUUUUUUAGUUGUUAUUUCUUUCUCUCUUAUCAUUUUUUAAUUGAAAUUUUUUAUCUAUUAAAUUUGGUCCUUAUUCUUUUGGUUGUUACUUAUUUUAUUUGAUAUAAUUUAUAAAAUUAUAAUAAUUAUUAUUAUAAUUUAUGAUGUUUCAAUUUUUUUAUCUAUUAGAUUUGAUCUUUAUUAUUUUGAUUGUUAUUUAUUUUAUUUGAGAUAAUUUAUGAAAUUAGAUUUUUUUUUAAUUUCAUUCUCAUUCAACUCUUUUAAUUUGUAAUAUUUGUUCCUCAUUAUUUUAAUUAACUUGGAAAAAAUAAAAUAUUAAUAGGUUAUUUUCCAGCUUAUCUUUUAUGACAUAACCAAACAUUAAAAAAUAUUUUCUAAUUUAUUUUUCAUGAUUCACUUUUCUAAAAUUUAUUUUCUAGAAAAAUUAUUUUCAAAACAAAUUAUUUUCCACCAAAUAAACGUGAUUUAAAAAUGAAAUUAUAAAGGUAUAGUUUAUCUUACAUAAACAAUACCUCGUAUGAAGGUUUAUAUUACAUUAAUAUCUACGAAAAAGAGAAAAACAUUGUCAAGAUCAAACUAUGAAGUAUAGUUUUGAAACUUGGCCUGGCUUGAUGAGUCGAUCUGGGGAUGAAAUUGAACCGGGUUGAAGAAAAAAUAAAGGAAGGAAAAACCUGGCCUGGAUCGACGGGUUGACCAGGCGAUCCGGUCAAAACCAGGCCGCAAACCCGUUGAUUUUUAUUUAUUUUUAUUUUUAUUAUUAAAAUGACGUUGUUUUGAAUUUUUUAAAAUAAAAAAUUUGACCUGGCCGAUCCGGUGACCCGGUCAAUAUCCGGAACCCAGGCCUUAAAACUAUGCUUCCAAGAAAGAAAUUUAAAGCAGUACUGCCAAUACGAGUUAUUUUUAUUUUCUUCAUUUCCAUUGAUAGUUUAAGAUCCAACUGUCAUGAAUUACCAGAUAUAUAGUUGGGGAAGUAAUCUUAGGUCUUCCCAGUAGCUGUGCCUCGUACAUGGGGACUAGUCUUUGUAAUAUUAACGUUCCCUAUUUAUUAUUUUUAUUUUCUUCAUUUCCAUAACUUCACCAAAAGAGUUAAUUAAAGUUUCAUCUAAUUAAUAGCCAAUUUACUAAAACCUCACAUCAAUGAUUCCUUGAAGUACAAUGCGAGCUGCAGAUACGAUAUUGACAGAAGCAUGCGUGGAGAUUUUCAUGCUGUGGGUGGUCACGUUUAAUUUUCUCACAUUUUUUAAGCAACAGUAGAACUCGAAUGCCAUCAGAAAACAUUGCUGUUCACAAAAUCAGAGGAUUUUCUGUCACAAUCUUGCUUUUAAUUAUAGGUUUCUUGUUCAUCACCUCUCUUGUAAAGUCAACGUGGGUUUGAAAGUGUGAUUAUAAUUGUUUUUUAAAGUAAUUUUUAUUUUAAAAAAUAUGUUAAUAAUAUAUAUUUUUUAUUUUUUAAAAAUUAUUUUUGAGAUUAGUAAAUUAAAAUGAUUUAAAAACAUUAAAAACAUAUUAAUUUAAAAUAAAAAUAAAAUAUUUAAUUUUAAAAGAAAACACUUUUAAAAUACAAUACCAAAUAUACCAUUAAAAGCAGUCAGGACGACAGUAAGUUUGAUUCCCUCAUUUGUGCUUUUUUUUCUUCUUCUGCUUAUUAUAGGAGUAAUAGAAUUCAACAUAUGUUAAUUCAUAAUUAAUGAAAAAAAAAAACACUCAUGGUGGUAAUGAGGUAACCUAGAUCGAAUGAAGGAUUAUUAGCAAGAAAGUUUUGAUAAGUUAAGUUAUCAUUCAUAAUUUUUUUCUGUUUACCUAACAUCGUAUAGUUCUUGAUUUAUUUAAUUAUAUAUAUGUAUAAUAUUUUUAAUUUAUAUUUAAUUUGUUUAUAUGUAAAAAUACAUUAAAAAAUCCACAUGUAUAAUUUUUUAUAUAAAAAAAUCUAACAUACUUCUGAACACGAGUAAAAUUAAGAAUAAACUAAAACUGCUCAGUGUUUCACUGUGCAAGUCCACAGUGAAACGUUGAGCUGUCUUCUUUUUUUUUUUUUUUUUUUUUUUUUGCUUUUAACUUUUUUUUAGGCUGUUUUUUUUUUCUUUGUUUUUUAGCUGUUUUAUUUUUUUUAAUGAUUUUUUAAAAAAAAAUUUGUUAAUAUUAAAUUUUUUUUUAUUUAGUUAUCAAAUUUUUAUAGUACAAGUUUGAGUUCGAUGGAUUAACCUGGAUUUUUUUUCUAGUUUUUCUUUUUAAUUAAAUUUUUUGAGUGCAGUCCACAGUUAAACGCUUAGCUAUCUUUUUUUUUUUCUUUUAAGCUGUUUUGUUUUCUUUGUUUUUUUAAUUAUUUUUUUUUUGUUUAUUUUUUUUUAAUGUUAAUUUUUUUUCUAUUUAGUUGUCAAACUUUCAUUACAUUGGUUCUGAGUUUGACGCGUUAACCCUGAUUAUUUUUUUCUGGUUUUUCUUUUUAAUUAAUUUUUUUGAGUGCAAUCACAGUGAAAUGCUUAGUUGUCUUUUUUUUUUUUUGCUUUUUUUUUAAAGUUUUUUUUUUUUUUUUUUUAAGUUGUUUUGUUUUCUUUGUUUUUUUUUAAUGAAUUUUUAUUUGUUUAUGUUAAAUUUGUUUCUAUUUAGUUAUCAAACUUUCAUUACAUGGGUUCCGGGUUUGACGCGUUAACCCGGAUUUUUUUUGUUUUUCUUUUUAAUUAAUUUUUUCAUUUAAUUUAGUUUGUUAAUGUUAAAUUUUUUCUAUUUAAUUAUCAAACUUUCAUUACAUGGAUUCCGGGUUUGACGGGUUAACCCAGCUAUUUUUGGGUUAACCCGUAAAUUAUUUUUUCCCUAUUCAGUUAUCAAACUUUAAUGACACGAAUUCCAUAUUUCACGGGUUAACCUGGUUUGAAGGAUUAACCCAGAUAAUUCAUAUUUUUUUUCUUUUUCUUCAUUAGUUUUUUUCUUCAUGUAGGAUUUUUUAAAAAAAAUUAAUAUUUUUUUUGUUUCGUAUUUUUUUUUUUUUUUUUAAUUUUUUAUUUGUUAAAUUAGUUUUUAUUAAGUUUUUUUAUAUUUAGUUAUCAAACUUUCAUGAUACGAAUCCCAGGUUUGAUGGAUUUUUUUCCUUUUGUUCAUUAGUUUUUUUUUUCUUCCUGUAGUUUUUUUUUUCCUUUGUUUUUGUUCAUUUUAGUUUAUUAAUGUUAAUUUUUUUAUAUUUAAUUAUCAUACUCUCAUGACACGAAUCUUAGGUUUGACGGGUUAACUAGAUUUGGCGGGCUAACCCAGUUAAUUCAUUUUUUUUUUCUUCCAAUUUUUUCUUUAAAUAUUGUAAUUAACAAUAACUAAAAGACAUCAAUCUUUUUUCUUCCAAUUUUAUAACACGAAUCCCAGGUUUGAUGAGUUAAACCAGUUAAUUAAUUUUUUUUUCUUUUUCUUAAGUAGUUUUUUUCUUUCAAUUUUAUUUUUUAAUAUCGAUUUGAUUAAGAAUUAAACUUUAUGAUUUAUUUUGUUUACUGGUCAUUAAAUUAUUGUGAUCUCAUGAGGGGAUUUUACCGUGCCCCUCCUUGCAAAGCACUAUUCAUCAGAAUAAUACUUUGUUUUAUUGUUUAUUUCUUUUCAAUUAAUUUUUUUUAAUUUCAUUAUGUAAUAUUAAUUUUUUUUUCUUUUUAAUUAUCACACUUCUAUAACAAAACCUUGCAACCAGACUCAUAUCAAAGGCUCCGUGUUUGAUGUUGCCACCAAACUCACUUAAAUUUGGGCUAUGCAAGUUUAAUAUUAUUAUUAAUAUAACUUUUGAAUCAAGAGUAACAGAUAGACCCAAUGCUUUUAAGUAUAACUUUAUAGAAAAACCUAACACUCUUAAAUUUUAACUUUUUUGAAUAUUUUUUAUAUAAAAAACAUUGACCCGCAGCGUAGCGCGGGCCACAUUUCUAGUAGCUAACUAUAACCAGAAAUGGAGCAUUUUUGUUACAACGAAAAAGGGGAGAAAAACACUGUAACAUCUAAUAAUUUUCCUUAGUGUAUUUAAUGCUACAUAAUUCAGCAAAAUUAAAGGAAAAGGAAAGAAGGACAAACAAAAUUAAUCUAAUGCGAACACUCUUCUUUGGUUAGAAAUAAUUGUCCACAACCUAGAAAAGCAAAUGGAAAAGUCCACAACCUUGAAAAGCAUUAUUUCAUCAGCAAACAUAUCUCUGGGUAAUGGCAAUAAUUCUCCCCCAAUUAUCACAUGAUUUCCAGCUUGGUCCCCGAACAAAAACAAUUCCCAAUUGGAUUUUGUUAUCUAUCAAAUUAACAAUACCCAAUUAGGGUUAACUGUGUAGUUUUCCAAAUAGUUAUAAAACUUGGCUUUAUAGAUUAAUUUAAUGACUCGUUGACUCAUAACCUCAUUUGAGCCAUGUUUUUCUUUGUAUUUUAAACUUAAAAUGAUAUAUAUAUUUUUUGUAAAAUAUGAUUGUUUUAAUAUAUUUGUUAAUUUACGUAUCAACUUGUGACCUAGGUUUUUGGCCAGAUUGACCCUCAAAUUGGGUAUAACUAUGGUUUUAAUGGAUUUAAUUUAAGAUUUAAUGAUAUUUGAAGGAAAAAAACCGAAUUAUUUGAGAAGAAUUCAGCCACUCGUUCCAAUUUUUAUCCACCGACAGUGAUAAAAGACAUAUAAUAUAAUUUAGCUCAUCUCUUCUUCAAAAAUAAGCAAUAGCAUAUCAUUGUCAAUUACAGCAGAAAAGAUCAUGGGAAAAAAAUAAUUCAUUUUAGCAUAGCUGUUAACAUGGAAAAAAAACAAAUUUUUUUUUUAUUAAAACAAUAUUGUUUUAUAAAGUUAAUCUAACCAAGUUUAGAAUAGAUUCUACAAGGAUUAAUAUUUUUUUCUGGUUUAAUUUAAAACUCAAUCACAAUUACGCAAGGAUCAUAAAUUUAUCGAAUCAGUAAGACUUAACAUUUAUGCAUUUUUUAGCGUGCGAGAAAAAUGUCAACAAGGCUCCAUUUGGUAUUCAUUUUUCAUCACUCUGAUAUUUAUUACAGUGCAUAAGAUCGCUUAUUAUCACCUGCUUCCUGGCAUGUAGCCUAUCGUUCAAAUUGAGCUAACAAGCAUGCUAUCUGGCCCAGCCAAGUUUGUAUUGACUACGCUGCAGUUCAACCUGAUCUCUCCUUCAGUUCCUGUCAGAGGGCUGAGAUUUCCCAUUCUUAUCAUGGACUCCGCAAAGCUUUCAAAGAAAGCUGUUUGAUUAGCACUGAAAGCGUUAACAAGUGCAAUGAUAUCAUCUGCCCCAGGAGUUGAAAACAGUACUUGAUCCGUCUGAAGCAGGCCUCGGUUACCUUGCAGAUUGGAGUAGUAGUUACUGUCAAAGGCAUCCGGUGUUGUGAGAUCAAGAUUUGUUAACACACUCCCAUUUCCACCCUGGGGACAUAAUUCCUGAAGAGCUGCUAGAAGAGUUGGGUCCAGUGAUGGGUCAGGAGCACCGGUGCUGUUGAAAUCAUACAAUCGGAAGUCGAAUGUAGAGCAUUUUGCCC
This 8847-nucleotide long non-coding RNA is filed under the name Populus tremula. RNAcentral describes it as "long non-coding RNA (PTRE_LNC000009)". The record is from RNAcentral. Lineage: Eukaryota; Viridiplantae; Streptophyta; Magnoliopsida; Malpighiales; Salicaceae.